Molecule: transfer RNA, 74 nt
Filed under: Gemmata sp.
Lineage: Bacteria; Pseudomonadati; Planctomycetota; Planctomycetia; Gemmatales; Gemmataceae
Also listed under: 4 other names
Description: tRNA-Arg
Rfam family: tRNA
About the family: Transfer RNA (tRNA) molecules are approximately 80 nucleotides in length. Their secondary structure includes four short double-helical elements and three loops (D, anti-codon, and T loops). Further hydrogen bonds mediate the characteristic L-shaped molecular structure. tRNAs have two regions of fundamental functional importance: the anti-codon, which is responsible for specific mRNA codon recognition, and the 3' end, to which the tRNAs corresponding amino acid is attached (by aminoacyl-tRNA synthetases). tRNAs cope with the degeneracy of the genetic code in two manners: having more than one tRNA (with a specific anti-codon) for a particular amino acid; and 'wobble' base-pairing, i.e. permitting non-standard base-pairing at the 3rd anti-codon position.
Source: RNAcentral
GCACCCGUAGCUCAACUGGAUAGAGCAUCGGUCUACGGAACCGAAGGUUGCAGGUUCGACUCCUGCCGGGUGUA